RNAcentral lists this ribosomal RNA (822 nucleotides) under uncultured bacterium. RNAcentral's name for it is "bacterial SSU rRNA". It matches the Rfam family "Bacterial small subunit ribosomal RNA", at positions 61 to 899 of the family's 1533-position model. The record is from RNAcentral.
GUCGAACGGAUGAAUAAGCUUGCUUAUUUCGUUAGUGGCGCACGGGUGAGUCCUGUUUAGACCUAACCUGCCCUUUAGUGGGGGACAACAGAUGGAAACGUUUGCUAAUACCCCAUACUCCUGCUUAUCAUAAGGUAAGUUGGGAAAGAUUUAUUGCUAAAGGAUGGGGCUUUAUGGUAUCAGCUAGUUGGUGGGGUAACGGCCUACCAAGGCUAUGACGCCUACCUGGUCUGAGAGGAUGAUCAGGCACACUGGAACUGAGACACGGUCCAGACUCCUACGGGAGGCAGCAGUGGGGAAUAUUGCACAAUGGAGGAAACUCUGAUGCAGCAACGCCGCGUGGAGGAUGACGCAUUUCGGUGUGUAAACUCCCUUUUAUAAGGGAAGAUAAUGACGGUACCUUAUGAAUAAGCACCGGCUAACUCCGUGCCAGCAGCCGCGGUAAUACGGAGGGUGCAAGCGUUACUCGGAAUCACUGGGCGUAAAGGAUGCGUAGGCUGGAAAUCAAGUCGAGAGUGAAAUCCAACGGCUCAACCGUUGAACUGCUCUCGAAACUGGUUACCUAGAAUAUGGGAGAGGUAGAUGGAAUUGGUGGUGUAGGGGUAAAAUCCGUAGAUAUCACCAGGAAUACCGAUUGCGAAAGCGAUCUACUGGAACAUUAUUGACGCUGAAGCAUGAAAGCGUGGGGAGCAAACAAGAAUAAAUACCCUGGUAGUCCACGGCCCUAACGAUGCACACUAAAUUGUGCGAUGCUAGUCAAUUGCAGAAUGCACUUUAAAAAAUAAGUGUGCCGCCCGGGGGGGACAGUCGCCCAGAAUAAAA